AAUCAAAGGUUGUAAUCUUGCUACCGUGUGCGACGUGGAGGGAACCGUAAGGGGUGGUAGAGACGGUGGAAGGAGAGUCUCUUCCGUUUAAGGGUAAUUGAAGUGAGUUUUGAAGAUUGAAAGGUUCAAAUUGAGAAGGGUUAGAGAGAGAAUUGAUUAAGAGAUUUUCGAUGCCGUAGAAUUUGGAUUCAAUGAUAAGGUCUUGAAGAUCGAAUGAUUUUGCUUUUGAAGGAAGAUUACCGGUGCGGAGGAGAGAGAGGAGGAGAGAGAAAAUAUCAGGGUCUCUGUCAAUGAAAGGUGUGUAGGGAGAAGAGGUUUGUGAGAUUGUUGAGAAGAAGGUUUUUGGUCCAGCUGAGGUUAGGGUUUGUUUUGUUGUUUGAAAAAUUUGGCCACCAACGUCGAUUGUGACUAUGUUUGUGUCUGAUCUGAAAACACCAACGGGAUGAGAACCUGCAAAGGGUG
This 462-nucleotide long non-coding RNA is filed under the name Medicago truncatula (barrel medic). RNAcentral describes it as "long non-coding RNA (MTRU_LNC006665)". The record is from RNAcentral. Lineage: Eukaryota; Viridiplantae; Streptophyta; Magnoliopsida; Fabales; Fabaceae.